Molecule: unclassified non-coding RNA, 182 nt
Filed under: uncultured fungus
Lineage: Eukaryota; Fungi
Description: sequence contains ITS1
Source: RNAcentral
GUAUUUUGAAUUGUUUAUUCAUAAUAUUUUUCAGACAAAUUAGUUAAAGAAUGAGUUGAUGUAUAAAAAUCUCGCCAAGAUUGACGAGAUCUAACAUUGCACACAAGGUGGAUAUGGAUUUUUAAAAAGUGCCAUAAAACACUUUAUUAUGAAUGAUCCUUCCGCAGGUUCACCUACGGAAA